UCUUCUUUCAUUUUUUUUUUUUCUUCUCCUCCUCUUCUCUUCUCCCGAUUUCACCUUCCCCCUUUCUUCUCAUUUCUUGUCCCGUGGAGGGAGGAGGGCGAGCUCGGGAGGUUUGGGAGGAACGGGCAGCGGCCAAUGGCGCCCGGCGGCCGGCCUGCGGCGCCCUCGGCCACACCCGCGGCCGUGCCCGUGGUCGUGCUCGGGGGCGCAUCGGCGGCCUGCGGCCGCGUCGGCGUCCUGCGGCCGCGUCGGCGUCCUGCGGCCGCGUCGGCGUCCUGCGGCAGGCAACCCACGGCCUGCGGCCGAGGCCGGCACCCGCGAUUGCGGCUGCGGAUCACCCACUGCAUAAUUUGUAGAGAACAGGAAUUAGAGCUUACCUGACCUGAAGGUGGUCGUCCGCCUCCUACUCCGGCGAUGCGGCCCUUUACUCCGGCGGCGUGGGUCUAACACCGGGUCCUGCCAAUCGGAGAGGAUUGUGAGAGAGGGAGACAAACAGUGGAGGAGGAAGAUGAGCGGGUGGUGAAAUGGUAGCCGAUCGGGGCUUCUUGUAGCCUCGAUCACUGGGAAGGCGGACGGUUGUAACCGCCCACCAUCAGGCGUUACGAACGCCUGCACGAUGGUGUAAUGCCCUCCCCCCCUCCGUUUCUCUUGGAAGUGGGGCGGUUAUCACA
This is a non-coding RNA of Phoenix dactylifera (date palm), 671 nucleotides long. The record is from RefSeq and is a predicted model, not a curated record. NCBI's taxonomy places the organism in Eukaryota, Viridiplantae, Streptophyta, Magnoliopsida, Arecales, Arecaceae.